AGAACAUAAAUGAAUUGAAAAAAUACUUUAAUACAUAGAGAAGAUAUUCUUAUUUUUGUCAUUUAUGUCAUCACUUAGAAUUACAACAAUUAAAACUGAGAAAGUAUAGAUGAAGAAUCAUGAUAUUUAUACAA
Molecule: long non-coding RNA, 134 nt
Filed under: Polistes fuscatus (common paper wasp)
Lineage: Eukaryota; Metazoa; Arthropoda; Insecta; Hymenoptera; Vespidae
Description: uncharacterized LOC122514346
Source: RNAcentral